CCUACGGGUGGCAGCAGUGGGGAAUAUUGGACAAUGGGGGCAACCCUGAUCCAGCCAUGCCGCGUGUGUGAAGAAGGCCCUCGGGUUGUAAAGCACUUUCAGUGAGGAAGAACGCCUGGUGGUUAAUACCCAUCAGGAAAGACAUCACUCACAGAAGAAGCACCGGCUAACUCCGUGCCAGCAGCCGCGGUAAUACGGAGGGUGCGAGCGUUAAUCGGAAUUACUGGGCGUAAAGCGCGCGUAGGUGGCUUGAUAAGCCGGUUGUGAAAGCCCCGGGCUCAACCUGGGAACGGCAUCCGGAACUGUCAAGCUAGAGUGCAGGAGAGGAAGGUAGAAUUCCCGGUGUAGCGGUGAAAUUCGUAGAGAUCGGGAGGAAUACCAGUGGCGAAGGCGGCCUUCUGGACUGACACUGACGCUGAGGUGCGAAAGCGUGGGUAGCAAACAGGAUUAGAUACCCUGGUAGUC
RNAcentral lists this ribosomal RNA (465 nucleotides) under Vreelandella stevensii. RNAcentral describes it as "partial 16S ribosomal RNA". It matches the Rfam family "Bacterial small subunit ribosomal RNA", at positions 338 to 795 of the family's 1533-position model. Lineage: Bacteria; Pseudomonadati; Pseudomonadota; Gammaproteobacteria; Oceanospirillales; Halomonadaceae. The record is from RNAcentral.